UACAGAGGUCCCAAGCGUUGUUCGGAUUCAUUGGGCGUAAAGGGUGCGUAGGUGGCAUGGUAAGUCGGGUGUGAAAUCCCGGGGCUCAACCCCGGAACUGCACUCGAUACUACCGUGCUCGAGUACUGGAGAGGAGACUGGAAUUACGGUGUAGCAGUGAAAUGCGUAGAUAUCGUAAGGAAGACCGGUGGCGAAGGCUAGUCUCUGGACAGUUACUGACACUGAGGCACGAAGGCCAGGGAGCAACGGG
Molecule: ribosomal RNA, 250 nt
Filed under: uncultured bacterium
Lineage: Bacteria
Description: partial 16S ribosomal RNA
Rfam family: Bacterial small subunit ribosomal RNA
Source: RNAcentral